UACGUAUGGUGCUAGCGUUAUCCGGAUUUACUGGGUGUAAAGGGAGCGCAGGCGGCACGGCAAGCCUGAUGUGAAAGCCCGCGGCCCAACCGCGGGACUGCAUUGGGAACUACCGGGCUGGAGUGCCGGAGAGGUAGGCGGAAUUCCUAGUGUAGCGGUGAAAUGCGUAGAUAUUAGGAGGAACACCAGUGGGGAAGGCGGCCUACUGGACGGUGACUGACGCUGAGGCUCGAAAGCGUGGGGAGCAAACAGG
This 253-nucleotide ribosomal RNA is filed under the name uncultured bacterium. Its description in RNAcentral is "partial 16S ribosomal RNA". It matches the Rfam family "Bacterial small subunit ribosomal RNA", at positions 524 to 776 of the family's 1533-position model. The record is from RNAcentral.